CUAAAAUACGACUAAAACUAAAAUGGCUUUUUAGUCAAAAGACAAUGACUAAAACUAAAUUGAAAUUUGCAACGGAAAUUAACAUUAAGACACAUGGGGAGGGAGAAGAGGAAAUGAGACACAUGAGGGACUGAGGAAAUGAGACACAUGGGAGACUGAGGAAAUGAGACACGUGGGGGGCUGGUGGAUAGAAACACAUUGGGGACUGGGGAAAUCAGAC
Non-coding RNA from Pelobates cultripes (western spadefoot toad), 220 nucleotides. Lineage: Eukaryota; Metazoa; Chordata; Amphibia; Anura; Pelobatidae. The record is from the annotation of a GenBank genome assembly.